Molecule: ribosomal RNA, 1458 nt
Filed under: uncultured bacterium
Lineage: Bacteria
Description: bacterial SSU rRNA
Rfam family: Bacterial small subunit ribosomal RNA
Source: RNAcentral
UCAGAACGAACGCUAGCGGGAUGCAUCAAACAUGCAAGUCGCACGCGAAAGUUUUCUUCGGAAAGCGAGUAGAGUGGCGCACGGGUGAGUAACACGUAGCUAACGUACCUUUUCGCUGGGGACAACUCCGGGAAACCGGAGCUAAUACCGAAUGAUUCGCCCAGAGCUGAGGCUCAGGGCGGUAAAGCCGUAAGGCGCGAAAAGAUCGGGCUGCGUCCCAUUAGCUUGAUGGUAGGGUAACGGCCUACCAUGGCGACGAUGGGUAGCUGGUCUGAGAGGAUGGCCAGCCACACUGGAACUGAAACACGGUCCAGACUCCCACGGGAGGCAGCAGUUGGGAAUAUUGGACAAUGGGGGAAACCCUGAUCCAGCAAUCUCGCGUGAGUGAUGAAGGCCUUCGGGUCGUAAAGCUCUUUCAGCAGGGAAGAAGAUCUGACGGUACCUGUAGAAGAAGCACCGGCUAACUCCGUGCCAGCAGCCGCGGUAAUACGGAGGGUGCAAGCGUUGUUCGGAAUUAUUGGGCGUAAAGGGCGUGUAGGCGGCUAAGACAGUCUGGUGUGAAAGCCCGGGGCUCAACCCCGGAAGUGCACUGGAUACUACUUAGCUAGAGGACGAGAGAGGUGAGUGGAAUUCCUGGUGUAGGGGUGAAAUCCGUAGAUAUCAGGAGGAACAUCAGUAGCGAAGGCGGCUCACUGGCUCGUAUCUGACGCUGAGACGCGAAAGCGUGGGGAGCGAACAGGAUUAGAUACCCUGGUAGUCCACGCCCUAAACGAUGGAUACUAGUCGUCGGAACUCCUAAUCGUUUCGGUGACGAAGCUAACGCAUUAAGUAUCCCGCCUGGGGAUUACGAUCGCAAGAUUAAAACUCAAAGGAAUUGACGGGGGCCCGCACAAGCGGUGGAGCAUGUGGUUUAAUUCGAUGCUACGCGAAAAACCUUACCUGGACUUGACAUCUCGGGCUAUCCUGUGAAAGCAGGAGUUCCCUUCGGGGACCCGAAGACAGGUGCUGCAUGGCUGUCGUCAGCUCGUGUUGUGAGAUGUUGGGUUAAGUCCCGCAACGAGCGCAACCCCUGCCAUUAGUUACCAGCAUUUAGUUGGGCACUCUAAUGGGACCGCUGUGCUAUAAGCCAGAGGAAGGUGGGGAUGACGUCAAGUCCUCAUGGCCCUUAUGUCCAGGGCAACACACGUGCUACAAUGGGUGGUACAAAGCGCUGCUAACUCGUAAGAGCAUGCUAAUCGCAAAAAACCACUCUAAGUUCGGAUUGGAGUCUGCAACUCGACUCCAUGAAGUUGGAAUCGCUAGUAAUCGCGGAUCAGAACGCCGCGGUGAAUACGUUCCCGGGCCUUGUACACACCGCCCGUCACACCAUGGGAGUUGGUUGUACCGGAAAACGUUGCGCUAACCAGCCGUUUAAAGCGGCGGAAGCAGGCGUUUAUGGUAUGGUCGAUGACUGGGGUG